Molecule: ribosomal RNA, 575 nt
Filed under: bacterium
Lineage: Bacteria
Description: bacterial SSU rRNA
Rfam family: Bacterial small subunit ribosomal RNA
Source: RNAcentral
UCUGCUGACGACCGGCGCACGGGUGCGUAACGCGUAUGCAAUCUACCUCUUACUGAGGGAUAGCCCAUGGAAACGUGGAUUAAUACCUCAUAGUAUUAUAAACUGGCCUCAGUUUAUGAUUAAAGGUUACGGUAAGAGAUGAGCAUGCGUCCUAUUAGCUAGAUGGUAAGGUAACGGCUUACCAUGGCUACGAUAGGUAGGGGUCCUGAGAGGGAGAUCCCCCACACUGGUACUGAGACACGGACCAGACUCCUACGGGAGGCAGCAGUGAGGAAUAUUGGACAAUGGGCGAGAGCCUGAUCCAGCCAUGCCGCGUGCAGGAAGACGGCCCUAUGGGUUGUAAACUGCUUUUACAGAGGAAGAACCCUCCUUACGUGUAAGGAGCUGACGGUACUCUAUGAAUAAGGAUCGGCUAACUCCGUGCCAGCAGCCGCGGUAAUACGGAGGAUCCAAGCGUUAUCCGGAAUCAUUGGGUUUAAAGGGUCCGUAGGCGGGUCUAUAAGUCAGUGGUGAAAGUCUGCAGCUUAACUGUAGAACUGCCAUUGAUACUGUAGACCUUGAAUUAGUAUGAAGUG